Molecule: unclassified non-coding RNA, 90 nt
Filed under: Pseudomonas moraviensis
Lineage: Bacteria; Pseudomonadati; Pseudomonadota; Gammaproteobacteria; Pseudomonadales; Pseudomonadaceae
Description: microRNA mir-598
Source: RNAcentral
CGAUGAUGAUUGAUGUAGGAGCUGCCGAAGGCUGCGAUCUUUUGAUCUUGAAAACAAAGAUCGCAGCCUUCGGCAGCUCCUACAGGGCAC